UACGUAGGGGGCAAGCGUUGUCCGGAAUCAUUGGGCGUAAAGAGCGUGUAGGCGGCUAGGUAAGUCCGAUGUGAAAGUCCAGGGCUCAACCCUGGAAUGCCGGUGGAAACUGUCGAGCUAGAGUCCGGAAGAGGCGAGUGGAAUUCCUGGUGUAGCGGUGAAAUGCGCAGAUAUCAGGAGGAACACCAAUGGCGAAGGCAGCUCGCUGGGACGGUACUGACGCUGAGACGCGAAAGCGUGGGGAGCAAACAGG
This 253-nucleotide ribosomal RNA is filed under the name uncultured bacterium. Its description in RNAcentral is "partial 16S ribosomal RNA". It matches the Rfam family "Bacterial small subunit ribosomal RNA", at positions 524 to 776 of the family's 1533-position model. The record is from RNAcentral.